CCUACGGGUGGCAGCAGUGAGGAAUAUUGGUCAAUGGACGCAAGUCUGAACCAGCCAUGCCGCGUGCAGGAAGACGGCUCUAUGAGUUGUAAACUGCUUUUGUACGAGGGUAAACGCAGAUACGCGUAUCUGUCUGAAAGUAUCGUACGAAUAAGGAUCGGCUAACUCCGUGCCAGCAGCCGCGGUAAUACGGAGGAUUCAAGCGUUAUCCGGAUUUAUUGGGUUUAAAGGGUGCGUAGGCGGUCGGAUAAGUUAGAGGUGAAAUCCCGAGGCUCAACUUCGGAAUUGACUCUGAUACUGUUCGGCGAGAGAGUAGUUGCGGUAGGCGGAAUGUAUGGUGUAGCGGUGAAAGCCUUAGAGAUCAUACAGAACACCGAUUGGGAGGGCAGCUUAACAAGCUACUUCUGACGUUGAGGCACGAAAGCGUGGGGAGCAAACAGGAUUAGAUACCCCAGGAUUC
RNAcentral lists this ribosomal RNA (460 nucleotides) under uncultured bacterium. Its description in RNAcentral is "partial 16S ribosomal RNA". It matches the Rfam family "Bacterial small subunit ribosomal RNA", at positions 338 to 795 of the family's 1533-position model. The record is from RNAcentral.